This 28-nucleotide small RNA is filed under the name Bombyx mori (domestic silkworm). RNAcentral's name for it is "ovarian small RNA-23981". The record is from RNAcentral. Lineage: Eukaryota; Metazoa; Arthropoda; Insecta; Lepidoptera; Bombycidae.
UAUGGUUAGCCUCAGCUCUUCUAGCAUU